GCUUGCACUAGACUCAUGAGUUGCGAACGGGUGAGUAACGCGUAGGUAACCUGCCUCAUAGCGGGGGAUAACUAUUGGAAACGAUAGCUAAUACCGCAUAACAGUAUUUACUGCAUGGUAGAUACUUGAAAGGAGCAAUUGCUUCACUAUGAGAUGGACCUGCGUUGUAUUAGCUAGUUGGUGGGGUAACGGCUCACCAAGGCAUCGAUACAUAGCCGACCUGAGAGGGUGAUCGGCCACACUGGGACUGAGACACGGCCCAGACUCCUACGGGAGGCAGCAGUAGGGAAUCUUCGGCAAUGGGGGCAACCCUGACCGAGCAACGCCC
Molecule: ribosomal RNA, 328 nt
Filed under: Streptococcus sp. 253a
Lineage: Bacteria; Bacillati; Bacillota; Bacilli; Lactobacillales; Streptococcaceae
Description: bacterial SSU rRNA
Rfam family: Bacterial small subunit ribosomal RNA
Source: RNAcentral